This 1238-nucleotide ribosomal RNA is filed under the name Bacillus amyloliquefaciens. Its description in RNAcentral is "bacterial SSU rRNA". It matches the Rfam family "Bacterial small subunit ribosomal RNA", at positions 41 to 1262 of the family's 1533-position model. Lineage: Bacteria; Bacillati; Bacillota; Bacilli; Caryophanales; Bacillaceae. The record is from RNAcentral.
GGCGUGCCUAAUACAUGCAAGUCGAGCGGACAGAUGGGAGCUUGCUCCCUGAUGUUAGCGGCGGACGGGUGAGUAACACGUGGGUAACCUGCCUGUAAGACUGGGAUAACUCCGGGAAACCGGGGCUAAUACCGGAUGGUUGUUUGAACCGCAUGGUUCAGACAUAAAAGGUGGCUUCGGCUACCACUUACAGAUGGACCCGCGGCGCAUUAGCUAGUUGGUGAGGUAACGGCUCACCAAGGCAACGAUGCGUAGCCGACCUGAGAGGGUGAUCGGCCACACUGGGACUGAGACACGGCCCAGACUCCUACGGGAGGCAGCAGUAGGGAAUCUUCCGCAAUGGACGAAAGUCUGACGGAGCAACGCCGCGUGAGUGAUGAAGGUUUUCGGAUCGUAAAGCUCUGUUGUUAGGGAAGAACAAGUGCCGUUCAAAUAGGGCGGCACCUUGACGGUACCUAACCAGAAAGCCACGGCUAACUACGUGCCAGCAGCCGCGGUAAUACGUAGGUGGCAAGCGUUGUCCGGAAUUAUUGGGCGUAAAGGGCUCGCAGGCGGUUUCUUAAGUCUGAUGUGAAAGCCCCCGGCUCAACCGGGGAGGGUCAUUGGAAACUGGGGAACUUGAGUGCAGAAGAGGAGAGUGGAAUUCCACGUGUAGCGGUGAAAUGCGUAGAGAUGUGGAGGAACACCAGUGGCGAAGGCGACUCUCUGGUCUGUAACUGACGCUGAGGAGCGAAAGCGUGGGGAGCGAACAGGAUUAGAUACCCUGGUAGUCCACGCCGUAAACGAUGAGUGCUAAGUGUUAGGGGGUUUCCGCCCCUUAGUGCUGCAGCUAACGCAUUAAGCACUCCGCCUGGGGAGUACGGUCGCAAGACUGAAACUCAAAGGAAUUGACGGGGGCCCGCACAAGCGGUGGAGCAUGUGGUUUAAUUCGAAGCAACGCGAAGAACCUUACCAGGUCUUGACAUCCUCUGACAAUCCUAGAGAUAGGACGUCCCCUUCGGGGGCAGAGUGACAGGUGGUGCAUGGUUGUCGUCAGCUCGUGUCGUGAGAUGUUGGGUUAAGUCCCGCAACGAGCGCAACCCUUGAUCUUAGUUGCCAGCAUUCAGUUGGGCACUCUAAGGUGACUGCCGGUGACAAACCGGAGGAAGGUGGGGAUGACGUCAAAUCAUCAUGCCCCUUAUGACCUGGGCUACACACGUGCUACAAUGGACAGAACAAAGGGCAGCGAAACCGCGAGG